This 298-nucleotide ribosomal RNA is filed under the name Trichomonas vaginalis G3. RNAcentral describes it as "5.8S ribosomal RNA". The stretch from base 29 to 183 matches the Rfam family "5.8S ribosomal RNA". From Rfam's summary of the family: 5.8S ribosomal RNA (5.8S rRNA) is a component of the large subunit of the eukaryotic ribosome. It is transcribed by RNA polymerase I as part of the 45S precursor that also contains 18S and 28S rRNA. The record is from RNAcentral. Lineage: Eukaryota; Parabasalia; Trichomonadida; Trichomonadidae.
AAAAUUAAAACUACUUCAUCAAAACCAAGUCUCUAAGCAAUGGAUGUCUUGGCUCUCACACGAUGAAGAACGUGGCAUAAUGUGUUAAGUAACCGGAGUUGCAAACAUCAUGACAGGUUAAUCUUUGAAUGCAAAUUGCGCUAAACUCGAUCUCGGUCGAGAAGCAUGGGUGUGACAGUACUACAUCUUUUAUAAUAAUUCUUAUUCUAAGCGAAUAAGUAAAUAAUAUAUAAGACAAACAACACGUAGUCUGCCAUACGCAGGAAGACCCGCUGAACUGAAGCAUCUCAUUAAGCGG